RNAcentral lists this long non-coding RNA (487 nucleotides) under Equus asinus (donkey). RNAcentral's name for it is "lncRNA (ENSEASG00005027985.1)". The record is from RNAcentral. Lineage: Eukaryota; Metazoa; Chordata; Mammalia; Perissodactyla; Equidae.
ACGCCCGCGUCCCUGCGCCCCGCGCUCCGCCGCCUGCCGCCUGCCUGCCACUGCCUCCCGCCGCCGCCGCCGCCGCGGCCAGCCAAACCCUGCCCUGCCCUGCCCUGCCCUGCCGCCCGCCCAGGGCACGGGAGGCCUCGGGCACCCCGGGGACUGUGGGCGGGCGGGGCGCAAGUCUAGGCGCUCUCCCAAGCCGGCCCCGGACGCUCCAGGCCUCCUUCCCGCUGGCUUCCUGGCUAUAGAUUAGAUUCAGGAAAUAGUUUACGAUUCAAGUGCAUCCUAAAGUUGGAGCAACCCUGGCUAGAAUAUCAUAGAUCCUUGAGUUGGCAGAGACCUUUCACUCUUCAGUAUAUUUAUAUUCAACGCAAAGAUCCUUCCUUCUAUAUCAUCCUUGACAACAGACCACCUAGAUUCUGUGUAAAUAAUUCCGAUGACAAGAAACGCAUUAAAUAAAGAGACCCCUUUGUUUUUAGAGUUUUAAAUGUUU